UUUAAAACUGUACAAGCAUGCAGGUUCUAUAUACACAGGUGGUGUACGUUGGGUUUAGAUAUGCAUGCAUGUAUAGAAGUGCAUGAUGCACCAGGUAGUGUGUGCGAAAGUGAAGGAAAGAGUGUGAGAGAGAGAGGGAGAUUUGAAAAGAGAGUUAAUUUGAGUGACUUAAAAAGAGAGUUUAGAGUUUGAGUUUAAACUACUUAAUUCAAAAAAGAAGUUGGUGUAAUAUUUUUUUAGUUGACAAAUAUCUUCUCACAUAUAUUUGCAUUCUCCUUCUUGUUAUAUUUCUAUCUCUUUUAUCUUGACAUUUCGGCUUCAAAAUUUUCUAUCAAUCUUAAACGACGUACACACAGUGUAAUAAAAUUUACAAAAACGUAUAACAACGCUGUGUUUUCGCAACUUCAUGUUGGCUUAAAUAGGCCAGGCUGGCCAGCAUCCUGCCCUGUGGCGGGAGGCUAGGUGGGCCGAGUCACAAUCAAGAUCCGUGGGCGCUGUUUCUGUACGUUUUAAGUGAAUUGGUUGCGUAUUUCUAACAGCUCGAGCUUUUGGGAUUAAUGGUUAGAGCCAAUGAUCCGACAAGUGGUAUCAGAGCCAGAGGUCACGGGCUUGAUUCCUGCAUGCUGCAAAUGUGUGCAGGUGGGCCGAAUCACAAUCGAGACCCGUGAGCGCUGUUUCUGUACGCUUUAGGUGAAUUGGUUGCGUAUUUCUAACAGCUCAAGUUUUUGAAAUUAAUAGUUAGCGCCAACGAUCCGACACUUCAGACGGAAUCUAUAAUAUCACGAACAAUACACCAUCCAACAAUAC
RNAcentral lists this long non-coding RNA (807 nucleotides) under Ananas comosus (pineapple). RNAcentral describes it as "long non-coding RNA (ACOM_LNC015910)". The record is from RNAcentral. Lineage: Eukaryota; Viridiplantae; Streptophyta; Magnoliopsida; Poales; Bromeliaceae.